AUGCCUGUACCAUAACCGACACAGGUGGGUAAGUAGAGUAUACAAAGGGGCGCGAGAUAACUCUCUCUAAGGAACUCGGCAAAAUAACUCCGUAACUUCGGGAGAAGGAGUGCCUUAUUCUUAAGGUUGCAAUAACAAGAUCCAAGCAACUGUUUAUCAAAAACACAGGUCUCCGCUAAGUCGUAAGACGAUGUAUGGGGGCUGACGCCUGCCCAGUGCCAGAAGGUUAAAGAAGUCGGUUAGCAAUAGCAAAGCUGGUAACUGAAGCCCUGGUGAACGGCGGCCGUAACGAUAACGGUCCUAAGGUAGCGAAAUUCCUUGUCGGGUAAGUUCCGACCCGCACGAAAGGCGUAAUGAUUUGGAUGCUGUCUCGGAGAGGGGCUCGGUGAAAUAGACUUGUCUGUGAAGAUGCGGACUACCUGCACCAGGACAGAAAGACCCUAUGAAGCUUUACUGUAACUUGAAAUUGAAAUUGGACUUUAUUCGCGCAGUAUAGGUGGGAGGCGUUGAUUAUAAUCUUGUGGGAUUAUUGGAGCCAUCAGUGAGAUACCACUCUUGUAAUGUUAGAUUUCUAACUUUGAAUCAUUAUCUGGUCAAAGGACAGUUUCAGGCGGGCAGUUUGACUGGGGCGGUCGCCUCCUAAACGGUAACGGAGGCGUACAAAGGUUUCCUCUGAACGGUUAGAAAUCGUAUCUAGAGUGUAAAGGCAUAAGGAAGCUUGACUGUGAGACCUACAAGUCGAGCAGGGACGAAAGUCGGUCUUAGUGAUCUGACGGUACUGAGUGGAAAGGCCGUCACUCAACGGAUAAAAGUUACUCUAAGGAUAACAGGCUGAUCUCCCCCAAGAGUUCACAUCGACGGGGAGGUUUGGCACCUCGAUGUCGGCUCAUCGCAUCCUGGGGCGGUAGUACGUCCCAAGGGUUGGGCUGUUCGCCCAUGAAAGCGGUACGCGAGCUGGGUUCAGAACGUCGUGAGACAGUUCGGUCCAUAUCCGGUGUAGGCGCUAGAAUAUUGAGAGGAGCCUUCUUUAGUACGAGAGGACCGAGAAGGACAUACCUCUGGUGUACCAGUUAUCGUGCCAACGGUAAACGCUGGGUAGCUAUGUAUGGAGUGGAUAACCGCUGAAAGCAUCUAAGUGGGAAGCCCACCUCAAGAUAAGUAUUCUCAUCACGUAAGUGAGUAAGGUCACGGUAAGACUAACCGUUUGAUAGGCAUUAAGUGUAAGUACAGUAAUGUAUGUGCUGAGAUGUCCUAAUAGACCGAGGACUUG
RNAcentral lists this ribosomal RNA (1270 nucleotides) under metagenome. RNAcentral describes it as "bacterial LSU rRNA". It matches the Rfam family "Bacterial large subunit ribosomal RNA", at positions 1638 to 2925 of the family's 2925-position model. The record is from RNAcentral.